This 33-nucleotide non-coding RNA is filed under the name Paludibacter propionicigenes WB4. Lineage: Bacteria; Pseudomonadati; Bacteroidota; Bacteroidia; Bacteroidales; Paludibacteraceae. The record is from RNAcentral.
GUGGCGAAUUCCGAAAAGCCAUACGAGUAGGAA